UUCUUAUCAAGAGCGGUGGAGGGACUGGCCCUAUGAAACCCGGCAACCUUGAUUCAUUCAAAAGGUGCUAAAUCCAGCAGAAGUAUUUCUGAGAGAUAAGAA
Molecule: non-coding RNA, 102 nt
Filed under: Brevibacillus laterosporus
Lineage: Bacteria; Bacillati; Bacillota; Bacilli; Caryophanales; Paenibacillaceae
Also listed under: 1 other name
Description: SAM-I sequence
Rfam family: SAM riboswitch aptamer (S box leader)
About the family: The SAM riboswitch is found upstream of a number of genes which code for proteins involved in methionine or cysteine biosynthesis in Gram-positive bacteria. The SAM riboswitch acts at the level of transcription termination control.
Source: RNAcentral